CGAAAUGGAUCCUUUCAAAUAAUUGACCCAUCAUAUCAUCCAAAGAAACGGAAAAUACCAAAAAGUUCAAAUUCACAGCUAAUAACAUUGAUUCAAUUGGCAUUGACAUAAUAGGAAUAUUUCGUCUAUUAAGGAGGAUUCCNUAAGGAGGAUUCCCCAAAUACCUAAAAUAAAGAUGAUCAUAGAAAAUGUGAAAUAUUUGAU
RNAcentral lists this unclassified non-coding RNA (204 nucleotides) under Hevea brasiliensis (rubber tree). The record is from RNAcentral. Lineage: Eukaryota; Viridiplantae; Streptophyta; Magnoliopsida; Malpighiales; Euphorbiaceae.